AGAAUGCGAUCAUUUUUAUACCAAUUACUCUGGGCUAUUUAAUGGUUAUUUCCUUAUAAAUUGUAAUAAAUACUGUAGAUCUACACCGUAUGUGCAAUAGGACUUUUGCAGAUCAACGACCUAGGAGACAGAUAUAGGUUGAGGGCACGUGGUAUGCGGAAACAGGAUGGGUGUGACGCAGAGGGUGCAGGUUGAGGGUGGUAUGUUGCGUCAUUGGAUGAUUGGUACCACAGGGACGAGGCGUACGUUUGUCUUUUUCCAUCUGAAAAUCAAUAUUAUAUUAAAAUGUAUAAAAACUGUAUAUAUUAUAUACAGUAGUUUUCGAUACGAAAGUAUCACAUAUAUAAAUUAUAAUGCAAGGGACUACAAGUCCCGUCUUCCGCUACUGCAUGGUGCUUCAUGGCUCGUCGUGGGUGGCUACCGUGAUGUCCUAAUCCCACCAAGUCCCUAGAGCGUACUCUAGGAUCGUACAGUUCUUAGUGUGAAAACAGAAAGCGGACGGAUUUGCGGAGACAAAGCGCGAAUGGAAAACAUGCGCACAGAAAGCUACGCGAGAACAAAAGGAUAAACGAAGAACGAUGGAGACAAAGACUAAAACGUAGGACUAAAAACGACGGGAGGAAAAACGACAUUUUUUCAUAUAGAAUUCCCUCAAAAUUUGAAGAUAGCUUAAAAUUGAGAAAUUAAUCCAAAGGAGAAACAAACACGAACCUAACAAACUAAAACUACCCUAAUAAACUACCUCUCUUUUCAAACAGAAUUAUCAUGCACAAGUACACACUAGUAAAAGAAAAAAAAUUUCUUUAAUUUUAUAUAUUUAAACAUAAUAUAACUUUUUUUAUCUGUUUUAUAUUAUGUUCAUAAUUAGUUUCAGGAUUCGAAAGAAAAAGGAAAAUGAAAUAGAGCGACAAAGUACAUAUAUUCUUCGGGUUUCGUCGCCUCUUUUUUAGACGAGCUCACGAGCAUUGUGUUCGAUAAAUUUAACGCGCGCACUAAACUCGAAAGCGCCUAUUGACAUCAAGAAAUUUACAGGAACGAAGGGUCUCUAUGUUAACAGGACAAGAAUGGUAGAAAUAUGUAUCUGUAUAUAUGUAUAUAUAUACAUAUAUAUAUAUAUGUAUGUAUAUAUAUGUAUAUAGACGUAGUAUAAUAAUAUAUACAAAUUAUAUAUAUAUAUAUAUAUGUAUGGUAUGUGUGUAUGUGUACGUACCAAAGUAGAAAGGGAUAUGGAGAAAAAAUGAGAGGAGACUGCGAGAAAGAGGGAGGCAGAAAAAGAAGGCGAUAGAAAAAGAUAAAAAUGUGGAUAGGGCAGGGAGAAAUGCAGAGAUCGGAUAGAGAUCGAGCGAACAGAGAAACAGGAAAAAGGGGAUGGCAAGGGAGACAGAGAACGUGAGAGGGAGAGAAGGAAGAGUGAGUAGGGAACUCUGAGCGCCGCAGCGCUACGGGGUGGUUGCCCUCGUCUGCGCUUUGUGGGAAAUGCCCGCUCAAUAACGCGUAGGUCCUCGUCUGCCCCUUCUCACCCUCGGAGGCAUCGCAGCAAGGGCCACUGCCCCAAAAGGCACGGCCACCCAUCGAAUAACCCUUAUCCUAUCUCUCCCUCCUACCCAUAAGACAGUUCUUCGAUUUUCUUCCUCCUUCUUCUAUUCUUUUUCCUCUUCCUUUGACCGUCUCAUACGUCGAAAAAGAUCGAAUCCUCGCCCUUGCACACAGACCUCGUGUACAGUCGCCGAAAAGACAAGAGGAACUGACAAAUAUCACUGCACCGAUUAAUCUUGCGGUCUGAUUUGCGUUUUCUAGAUAGCAAGGUCGACUUCUACCGAAUUGAAGAUCAUAAAGCAUACUUUCAUACUUUCUCUAUAUUAUUACUGAUAUUAUUAUUAUCAAUAAAAUAUAAAUAAUGUAAUUUAAUUACAAUUAAACAGUUGUAUUGUGCAUGCCCUUAUAUGUAACACAACAGGGGCGGAUUGGCCAUCGAGGAAUUUGGGAAAUUCCUGGUGGGCCGGUACAGAUUUAGGGCCGCUCUCUGCAGAAUCUAAUUAAUGAACGAAAAAUGGAGGACUAAUCAUGUCGGUAACCUCCUGGUAAAAAUUUAAGUUCCAGCCCGUCCGUGACUAGCAAUAAUUUCUUUAACAUCCACCUGCCACUCUUAGAACAGGAGAAGAAUACAUCUGAACUAAAAUUUGAAUUAAUAGAAAAAAGAAAUUAAAUUACUUUUAAUAUAAGGUGAUGAAGGUGUCUACCAGGAUCAGGAUAUUAAAUGAUGCUAAUGUCUAAGAAUAUUGAGCUUUUAGGGGAAAGUGGUCGAUAUCUGCCCAGUAUUCCGAGUUACCUCACCCUCGUUUCAGGCAUGGUGGAACCCCCAAAGAUCGCUCGGGCAAUGACCUCGAGAUUAUAUAUUCUGCCGGUAUAGGGUGGUACAGGGUUAUUCCCCUUGAAUUUAUCCGCGAAGCUGUAUCUUUUAUCAAAUCGUAUUGAAGCCUGACGAGAAAAAAUUUUAAAUAUUUAUUAAAAAUGAAAGAAAAAUAAAACAA
Long non-coding RNA from Bombus impatiens (common eastern bumble bee), 2531 nucleotides. RefSeq lists it as uncharacterized. Lineage: Eukaryota; Metazoa; Arthropoda; Insecta; Hymenoptera; Apidae. The record is from RefSeq and is a predicted model, not a curated record. The transcript has 4 exons.